RNA transcript from Carassius gibelio (silver crucian carp), 1813 nucleotides. It is a transcript of the gene named GRAM domain-containing protein 2B-like, with no coding region annotated. The transcript has 15 exons. NCBI's taxonomy places the organism in Eukaryota, Metazoa, Chordata, Actinopteri, Cypriniformes, Cyprinidae. The record is from RefSeq and is a predicted model, not a curated record.
AGCUCCUCAAAGAGCCUCAGAAACUCUGAUGGGAAACAAAGCACAUGAUCACAGUCAUCCUGAUGGAGAAACAUCUGGUUUUUGAGGACGAGGUUCAGUGCAAGAGCAGAAACGAUGCUGCGAGACCGAUGUGCUCCGUUCCUCCACAUCAGCAGACGAACGAGAGUGUGUUACUGCGUCAGUACGCUGAAAUCAUAGACGAGGAGGAAGGCGACAAGAUGACGAGACCUGAUACUUUCAUCUCACUGGAUGCUGAGGCUGACGUCUCUGCGAGGAGAAGAAAACCAACCCUCGUCAGAUCCAAAACAUUUGAUCCGUCACUACUCCUGCAAGUCCAGAGUGACUCCGAAUCAAAGUGUGAACGCAGGAAACCUCAGUCCUGUCAGUCUCUGCGCACUAAUAUCCAGUACCACAAAGUUUUUAAAGACAUAAGUGAAGAUGAACAACUGAGGCAGAGUUACACAUGCGCGCUGCAGAAGGACAUUCUGUACCAAGGAAGGCUGUUUGUGUCCGAUAACUGGAUCUGUUUCCAUUCCAAAGUGUUCGGGAAAGACACUAAGAUUGCGAUUCCAGUUGCUUCAGUAACAGUGAUCAAGAAAACAAAAACUGCCAUCUUGGUGCCAAAUGCACUGGUUAUUUCUACAGCACUCGAGCGGCAUGUGUUCGUUUCGUUUCUGUCUCGAGACACAACCUACAAGGUUUUGAUGUCUGUGUGCCCUCAUCUGGUUGAGAAGAGUCCUGGGAUCAGUCAAAUCCCGUCCCAGAGUCUGAGAGGACAUCCAGUGUCUCUGCCCACGGAUUUCGCUGCAGAUCUGUCAGAUUUGGACGGUCCGGUCAGACAGACGGGUCAGCACAUGGAUGACAGCAGCAGCUCGGACUGUCCCGAGUCACCGGACUUCGUCAAAACCCCGAAAUUCCCGAAACGAUCCCAAGCUUUCAUUGAAGUGGCUAAAAGAGAGAGUGAACUGGAUUCUCACCCACAACAAGAAACCAACACCACUGCAAACUUACCAUACACUGGUUCUACAGGAUCAGAGCUGGAGUUCAUGAAGACGCUGCGGCCCGUGUCUCUCUCUCUGAACGCUCUGCUGUUGAUCUAUCUGUCUCUGGUUUGUGUCCUGCUGUUGUCCUCCUGUUACAUGGCGUUUAAGAUCGUGUCUCUUGAGGAGCGUCUGACAUCUCUCGUGUCAAUGGAGUUUCCCCAGAAAAGAGAUGAAUAUCAAAGUCUGUUUUCUGGAGAAACAGCUGAGUUCUACUCGGUUCUUUCUGCAAGUCUUCUGAAGCUGGAAAAGAUCCACAGAAACCUGCAGAGACUGCUGGAGACCGUGUCUGAGGUCUGAAUGAAGGGCACACGCACAUGGAAGUGAAAGACUUUCCAGUCAAAGUCUUGAAGGCAUGAAACAGGAUCGAGAGUGCGGCGUGGGGAACUAAUAUGAAGAAAAACAGAGCAUAAUGAUCAUAUGAGGAAAGACAAAGAGCUUUUCCUGAUCCCAUGUGCUCUGAGACACAAUGUUCUUCUUCUUCUGAGGAGGAGGAGGUUUGCGAAGGAUCUCUUUCAGCUCUGUAUUGUGAAGAGUGAGAUUGUGAAAGAGUGUGUUGUGUUAUAUGCUAAUGUGACUGAAUGUCAUCACUCCUCUCCACAGAAAACCAUUGUUUCUCUCUGAACUGGAAUCAGAUUGAGGUUUUAACAUCCUGCAGAGGGUGGAAAUACUUCAUACCGUUGCCUCUAUACUUCACUUGUUUGUUGUUUAAAUGUGCAUUAAUGGAAAAGUUUUUAGCUGCUUUUGCAUUAAAAUUUAUGAUAUUCCUUUGA